Molecule: long non-coding RNA, 382 nt
Filed under: Rattus norvegicus (Norway rat)
Lineage: Eukaryota; Metazoa; Chordata; Mammalia; Rodentia; Muridae
Description: long non-coding RNA NONRATT007556
Source: RNAcentral
GGAGCUGUACCCGGAGGAACUGCUCAUUGACCAUCAGCACUGCUUCUUGGUGCUUUGUGGUCCUGCUGGACAGAGAGGAGGGUUCUGGGAAUCUCAGAUACCAGUGAAGCAAUUCUCUCCCCCUGGGGGCCUAAGCUUGGGUUUGCAGCAUGUUAGGAACAAGCUGAGCGGCAGGUAUAUGGCAGGACUAGAGGCCACCUUGGUGCUUGCGGGUCACUCACCCACCUCUCUGCUCCUGGUGGGGAAUGUACUGCUCUGUUCGUGCUGCCCUCACCAGGGCCACACCUGCCCUCACAGGGACUGAAGCUCCAGCCCCUUCCCUUCUUAUUUUACUGGUUUAAUUAUUUCCUUGUAAUAGAAAUAAAGUUUGUAUUUAGAGCUC